Molecule: non-coding RNA, 665 nt
Organism: Apodemus sylvaticus (European woodmouse)
Lineage: Eukaryota; Metazoa; Chordata; Mammalia; Rodentia; Muridae
Source: the annotation of a RefSeq genome assembly
UCUGCUUUAUGCAGGAUAUUAGGGCUUUCUUUCUCCCAUAGAGGGCAGUCUGCAGAUAGUAACUGCUGCCACUCACCAACAGCCCUGUCAGACCUUGCCUAUGGGACAUAGGUUAGCAUACCCUUCAUCUGUUUCUGAUGUUCAGUCACUCAAGCUAGAGGAAACUACAUUCCUACUGGGACUCUACUAUGGAUAUCUGGCUCCUGUAUUGGAUAAUUUUUAGUCUCAUGGAAACAGGUCAUACAGGACCCAAAGUACUCCAGAUCCCAAGUCAUCAAGUAAUAGAUAUGGGACAGAUGGUGACCCUCAGUUGUGACCCAGUUUCUAAUCACCUAUAUUUCUAUUGGUAUAAACAGAUCUUAGGACAGCAGAUAGAGUUUCUGGUUUCUUUCUACAGUGGUAAAGUCCUGGAGAAGUCUAAACUAUUUAAGGAUCAGUUUUUAGUUGAAAGGCCAGAUGGUUCAUAUUUCACUCUGAAAAUCCAACCCACAACACUGGAGGACUCAGCCGUGUACUUCUGUGCCAGCAGCUUAGCCACAGCCUUGCAAAAACACCAUCUUCCUGUUCACAAACUCUCAUGUGUCUGCCUCUUCCCUAACACCCUAUCUUCCGCAGAAGGAAGUCUACAUGACUAUUAUUUUAAUUGCAGUUGUUUUAACAAAUAA